Molecule: long non-coding RNA, 3664 nt
Filed under: Sus scrofa (pig)
Lineage: Eukaryota; Metazoa; Chordata; Mammalia; Artiodactyla; Suidae
Description: lncRNA (ENSSSCG00000045063.1)
Source: RNAcentral
CUGAAUAAAGGCACUGGGAGAGAAAAAGAAGCCAGGAAAGAAGGAGUCAGAUAGUCUAAACUGUAGUGGUUAUCAGUGGGAAGAAGGAAGUGGGAAGGGGCAAGGGCGAGGUAGGGGAUUAAGAGGUACAAACUACUAUGCAUAAAACAAAUAAGCAACAAGGACUUAUUGUACAGCACAGGGAUAUAUAGCCAUUAUUUUAUCAUAACUUUAAAUGGAGUAUCAUCUCUAAAAGGACUGAAUCGCUAUGUUGUAAACCUGAAACUGAAGAAGAGUAUAAAUCAACUAUACUUCAGUUUAAAAUGCAAAUUAAAACCACAGUGAAAUACCAUUACAUACCUAUUAAAUUAAAUUAAAAUUAAAUUGAAAGUAUAAAGACUGACCAUAUCAAGAUUUACUGAGAACUUACACAAACUGAAACUUUCAUACACUGCUGCUGAGAAUAUGCAAUGAUAUGACCACUUUGGAAAACUUUUUUGCAGUUUCUUAAGAAGUUAAACGCAUACCUACCAUAAGAUCCAAGUAUUUCAUGUGGAAGUAAAGGGAAAAAAGAAAGCACAUGUUCAUUCAAAGAUGUGGGAAUGAAUGUUCAUAGCAGCUUUAUUUGUAAUAAGGCUCCAAACUGGAAACAGCCCAGGUAUCCUGGACGAGUGGACUUCUCAACACUGUGGUACAUCCUGACAAUGGACGGCUUCUCCACAGUUAACUGGAAUGAGCUUUGAUACACGCACCCACAGGAAUGAAACCCAAGGUAAUUACGCUGAGUGUAAAGUUCCAACAGCACCAGAACAGAGUGCAUAGACUGUGAUUCUAUUUAUGUAAAAUUUCAGAAAAUGCAAACUAGUCUAUCACAACAGAAAGGAGAUUAAUGGUUGCUUGGGAGAGGGGUGACAGGAGUGGAAGCGAGACAUUAUAAAGGGGCACCAGGAAACUUGGGGAAGUGAUGCAUAUCUUCACAGUCUUGAUUGUGAUGAUGGUUUCACAGAUAUGUGCAUAUGUCAAAACUUAGCACAUUGUAUACUUUAAAUAUGUACAGCUUAUUGUGUGUCAGUUAUGCCUCAAUAAAGCUGUUGAAUUUUCUUUUAAAUGAAAGUCCUAGCUGAUUUUAGAGCAAAUAUUCAAGCAGGAGUCUCUGAAUACAGUGGUCAAUUAGACCAAAUAUUUGGUUACUGUGGGCCUUGACCUUUUCAGGCACAAGAAAAAAUAUUAAGUAAAAGGAUUGGAAAUAACCAAUAGCAAAGAAUUUGGUUGGGCAGGCCUAGGAAAGUUUAUUUGUUUAUAUGAGCAGCUGCCAUUUAAAUGUCAGCCACUUCACUUGGAGGAAGCAAAUCACUUUGGAAUAGAUUAAGGGGAAAAUGUAAGACCAGAAGGCAUUUACCACCUUGAACCUUUUGGUUGGUGUCUCAAGUUGAGCUCCCCAGAAGCAGACUCUGAGAUGAAAGCCAUGAGGAAGUGGCUGAUUAGGGAAGUACUUCCAGGGGAGACAAGUAAGGUGUGGAGGGAGCAGGACAAGGAAAGGAAGGAAACAGAACAAGGAUAUGAGGUAGCUUCACCCAGAUCCCACAGGGGGAACAGAGGGUGUUAAUCACACAUGACAGUUGUCCAAUCUGAGGCAAGAGAACUGGGUUUUCUGCACUGGUAAAGGGCCACUUUUGAUAGGGGACACUGAAUGUAAAUUCCCAAACGUGUCUAGCUCUAUGUGAUUGCAAGCCAUGUGGCUCCAGCAUCAGGGUGAUGCUCUGAAGAAUCACAGGUGCCUUAACUAUGUGGCCUCUCUAUACCUCUUGGAAUACAGAACUAGUCUCUGUAUAACAAGUGGGCAAAUCAAAUGGAUCUAGACCUGAGCCCUACCCCUUUGAAGUUAUGGAGAACUGAAGUGGUCCUGAGUAAGCUUACUUAUAGGAGAAGAAGUUCAAGUGAGAGGAGUUCACCAUGAAGAUAGGGGAUGUGGGUUUGUAGCUGCCACUAUUAAAUGAUCUAUCACAACAUGGCAGGUUCACUUUGGAACUUUGGGUGAAUGUAUGAGAAGGACAGUUAUAACCUCAGGAGCCAAGGGUGGAGCGCACAUAGACAAGCGUGCCACUGCGAUAACAGGACCAUCAGUGGUCAUGAUGGCAGUAGAAGGCAGAGACGCAUUGGCCUGGGAGAACCAAGUCUUUUCACUGGGGACACAGUCAAACUUAGUCAUUAUAGUAAUAGGAACAAGGAAUAAAAAGGGAAAUCUGUUAGUGAAUUGAUCAGAUUCUGUAGUUCCUCUCUGUGGAUAUCUGAAAGCUCAACUAACUAGACUAAAUGCUGAGAUUCUAGGACAAUACAGCAAGGGGCUCCAAGAUAAAGAUAUACUGCUUCCUGCCAAUAUGGACAUGUGGUACCUAGAUAUCUUUUUUUUUUUUCUUUUGGCUUCCCCAAGGCACAUGGAGUUCCUGUUCCAUCAGAGCAUUAGAGACACGAGAAAAAUUACUUCCCUGAAAACUGGAGCAACGGACAAGUGGAUACAGAAAGCCACAGCUUAUGGAGCAGAAAACUCUUUGCUACAGCCAACACUGGCAGGAAUAUUUUAUACUGUAAUUGACAAAUUCCUGCAGGCUCAAUAUGGACAUGUGUAAGAGUUAAAAACUCUACGAAGCCCAGCUUUAAGGAGCACUCCCUACAUUUGUCGGUUUCAUCUCCAAGAAUCCUAUUAGUUUGUCACUGUUAAGUUUGGAGAAAAAUGCCGUUGUGCUUGGGGGAGGGAAAAGUCACCAUUCUGAAACAUAUCCAGAGCUCUCUGUUCUCCUCAGCAAGACCUACCCUCAAGGGAAACUCAUUUACAAGUGUCUAAUCUACUGAGGUUUUACCAAAGCCUAAUAACCCUGGGGACAGGGAAAUAUCCAGCUCAUGUUCACUAAAAGACUAAAAUCUAAUUAUAGGACUAUAGAAAACUCCCCCCUCCCACCCCAUAUACCAUACUACCAUCAAUUCAGCUCCUGUAUAAUAGCAGAUGAUUACAGCUGAGAGAACUGCAGGCCUCAGACCCUAUUUAAGAAGUUUCUAGGAAAACUCCAAACAAUAGGGGAGACAAAAAUAAGGACACUAGUGGAAAUUUUAGACUCUUGACACCACAGUUACAGCAAAUAGUAAACACACCUAACCCCUAGUCAGAUAGGUGUAAAACUUCACACUAAGGGUCUACCCAAACAUGUUCCUUUUACCUAGUACAUCAUGCCUGUCUCAAUUUUUAAAAAGUUAGAGGGAAAGCUAAAGGGAAAGACAAACAAAUAAACCCGACAGUCUUAAAAGGUAAAGCAAGCAUCAGACCCAGACACAGAUAUGGAAGAGAUUUUGGAAUUAAAAUAACUAUGAUUAAUAUGCUAAGGGCUUUAGUGGAAAAGUGGAGUUCAUGAAAGAACAGAUGUAAGAUGAGAUGUUGAAGCUCUAAGAAUCAAAAGAAUACUGGUAAUCAAAACCUAUAAAAUAAAUGAAGAAUGCUUUUGUUAGGCUUAUUAGCAAACUAGACAUGUUCAAGGAAAAAAAAAAUCUGAACUUGUCAAUAAAACUUCAGUGAAACUGUCAAUAAAACUUCAAAAAGUGAAAUGCAAGAAAAAAAAUAAAAAAGAAUGGAGCCUAAGAACUAUGGAACAUUUACAUAAGCUAUCACAACAUACAUUUAGUGGGGAUACUAGAA